CACUCCUACGGGAGGCAGCAGUAGGGAAUCUUCCACAAUGGGUGCAAACCUGAUGGAGCAAUGCCGCGUGAGUGAAGAAGGUCUUCGGAUCGUAAAGCUCUGUUGUUAGAGAAGAACACGUGCUAGGUAACUACUAGCGCCUUGACGGUAUCUAACCAGAAAGUCACGGCUAACUACGUGCCAGCAGCCGCGGUAAUACGUAGGUGACAAGCGUUGUCCGGAUUUAUUGGGCGUAAAGGGAGCGCAGGCGGUCUGUUUAGUCUAAUGUGAAAGCCCACGGCUUAACCGUGGAACGGCAUUGGAAACUGACAGACUUGAAUGUAGAAGAGGAAAAUGGAAUUCCAAGUGUAGCGGUGGAAUGCGUAGAUAUUUGGAGGAACACCAGUGGCGAAGGCGAUUUUCUGGUCUAACAUUGACGCUGAGGCUCGAAAGCGUGGGGAGCGAACAGGAUUAGAUACCCGUGUAGUCCCAUGA
This 474-nucleotide ribosomal RNA is filed under the name uncultured organism. RNAcentral describes it as "partial 16S ribosomal RNA". It matches the Rfam family "Bacterial small subunit ribosomal RNA", at positions 334 to 800 of the family's 1533-position model. The record is from RNAcentral.